Molecule: non-coding RNA, 351 nt
Organism: Paramuricea clavata
Lineage: Eukaryota; Metazoa; Cnidaria; Anthozoa; Malacalcyonacea; Plexauridae
Source: the annotation of a GenBank genome assembly
CUGUAUUUAAAAUCGAUUCUAUAGCCAUUUCAUUUUAAAACGUUUUUAAUUAAAAUAUUGAAGUCUCAAAACUUUAUAUAGCAAUAUCAAACUGCAGAAGUAAGUCAAUGUAUCAACAGGAUGGACAAGAAAAAAGUCUUGUGUAUGUCCGCCAUGAUUAAUUUGCGAUACGCACGCUCGUGUAAACAUGCGUACUAAAGUACGGCUAAAUGGCGAAACAAGCGAUAAAUAUUCGACUUUUUAGCCUCGAGCAAAUUCCCCACCCCGGGGCUAACCUGCAGAAAGCAAAUGCCCGACCCUGGGAACAAGUACAGUUGAGAAUGCCCGAAAAACGCCCGGGGGGGGGAUGGG